This 922-nucleotide ribosomal RNA is filed under the name Chiloplacus propinquus. RNAcentral's name for it is "SSU rRNA". It matches the Rfam family "Eukaryotic small subunit ribosomal RNA", at positions 39 to 966 of the family's 1831-position model. Lineage: Eukaryota; Metazoa; Nematoda; Chromadorea; Rhabditida; Cephalobidae. The record is from RNAcentral.
AAAGAUUAAGCCAUGCAUGUCUAAGUAUAAACGAUCUAAUCGUGAAGCCGCGAAUGGCUCAUUAUAACAGCUAUAAUUUACUUGAUCUUGACACUAUCCUACUUGGAUAACUGUGGUAAUUCUAGAGCUAAUACAUGCAUUAAAGCUCUGACCUCACGGGAAGAGUGCACUUAUUAGAACAAAACCAAGCGGCUUCGGCCGUUUUCGGUUGACUCAUAGUAACUGAGCUGAUCGCACGGUCUUGCACCGGCGACGUGUCUUUCAAGUAUCUGCCGUAUCAACUUUCGAUGGUAGUGUAUCUGACUACCAUGGUGAUCACGCGUAACGGAGAAUAAGGGUUCGGCUCCGGAGAGUUCGCCUGAGAAAUCGCGAACACAUCUAAGGAAGGCAGCAGGCGCGAAAAUUACCCACUCUCAGCACGAGGAGGUAGUGACGAAAAAUAACGAGACCGUUCUCUUAUGAGGCCGGUCAUCGGAAUGGGUACAAUUUAAACCCUUUAACGAGUAUCUAUGAGAGGGCAAGUCUGGUGCCAGCAGCCGCGGUAAUUCCAGCUCUCAAAGUGCAUAGAAUUAUUGCUGCGGUUAAAAAGCUCGUAGUUGGAUCUGUGCCAUAGGACGUGGUCCACCUUCUGGGUGCGUACUAUGUUCCUAGGCUUUUUGCUGGUUUUCCCGUCGUAGCCUUAACUGGUUGCGGCGGGUGGCUGGCGAGUUUACUUUGAGAAAAUCAGAGUGCUCAACACAGGCGUAUCGCUUGAAUGAUUGUGCAUGGAAUAAUAGAAAAGGAUUUCGGUCCUCUUUUAUUGGUUUUGUGGACUGAGAUAAUGGUUAACAGGGACCAACGGGGGCAUUCGUAUUGCUGCGUGAGAGGUGAAAUUCUUGGACCGUAGCGAGACGCCCUACUGCGAAAGCAUUUGCCAAGAAUG